This 57-nucleotide transfer RNA is filed under the name Bos taurus (domestic cattle). It matches the Rfam family "tRNA", at positions 8 to 63 of the family's 71-position model. From Rfam's summary of the family: Transfer RNA (tRNA) molecules are approximately 80 nucleotides in length. Their secondary structure includes four short double-helical elements and three loops (D, anti-codon, and T loops). Further hydrogen bonds mediate the characteristic L-shaped molecular structure. tRNAs have two regions of fundamental functional importance: the anti-codon, which is responsible for specific mRNA codon recognition, and the 3' end, to which the tRNAs corresponding amino acid is attached (by aminoacyl-tRNA synthetases). tRNAs cope with the degeneracy of the genetic code in two manners: having more than one tRNA (with a specific anti-codon) for a particular amino acid; and 'wobble' base-pairing, i.e. permitting non-standard base-pairing at the 3rd anti-codon position. RNAcentral also lists the same sequence under 3 other names. The record is from Rfam by way of RNAcentral. Lineage: Eukaryota; Metazoa; Chordata; Mammalia; Artiodactyla; Bovidae.
UAGCUAAGUCGGCAGAGAACCUGCCUGCAAUGCAGGAGACCCAGGUUCAAUUCCUGG